GAUGAACGCUGGCGGCGUGCCUAACACAUGCAAGUCGAACGGAAAGACGCUGCUUUUGCCGGGUUCUCGAGGGGGGCACGGGUGAGAAACACGGGAGUAUCCCGCCCAUGACUGUAGGACAUCUUCAGGCAACUGCGGAUAAUACAGGAUAGCAGCUCCUGAUGCACGGUGGUCGUUGGACAGUUUCGGCGGUUGGGGACCGAGUGGCGGGUUAUCAGCUGGUUGGGGGGGUAGUGGCUUACCAAGGCUUCGACGGGUAGCCGGCCUGAGAGGGUGACCGGCCACAAUGGGACUGAGGGACGGCCCAGACUCCUACGGGAGGCAGCAGGGGGAAAUAUGACACAAUGGGCGGAAGCGUGAGGCGGCAGCGCCGGGUGCGGGAUGACGGCCUUCGGGGGAGAAACCGCUGUCGCCUGUGACGAAGCGUGAGUGACGGUAAUGAGUAAAGAAGCACCGGCUAACUACGUG
This 468-nucleotide ribosomal RNA is filed under the name uncultured bacterium. RNAcentral describes it as "partial 16S ribosomal RNA". It matches the Rfam family "Bacterial small subunit ribosomal RNA", at positions 28 to 507 of the family's 1533-position model. The record is from RNAcentral.